This 2213-nucleotide long non-coding RNA is filed under the name Carassius auratus (goldfish). Its description in RNAcentral is "lncRNA (ENSCARG00000008940.1)". Lineage: Eukaryota; Metazoa; Chordata; Actinopteri; Cypriniformes; Cyprinidae. The record is from RNAcentral.
CUCCAGUCACGUCACGUGUACCCAUUCAGCUCUGCAUUGUUGAUCAUAAAUGUAAGUGCCUAUAUAUGAAGUUCAAAGCACUACAAAACCUGCCAAUGGCUAUAUUAAAAAUGAGAAUAAACUCGAUAGCUUUGUGGAAACCUAAUUACACAGCUCUGAAAAUGGCUUUCAAUAUCUGCAGCUUUAAACGAAAUUCAUUUAAUAGAUAGCUAUUAGAUUAUAGCCUAUUUUUUUUUUCUUAAAUUAGUCUCAGCUUUGUUUGCAAAACUCGCAAAACACUUGGACACCGCUAUAAGUCAGGCCGGAAUAAUCUAAGUAAUAAUUAAUUAAUUAAUAAAUAAAUAAAUAAAAACCUGAUAUUAGCAGCGCUCACAGGUUUCUAUGACAACAAUGUCACGCAGUAAAGCUUUAAAUCUCCAAAAAGACAUUAAUAAAAACUAAACAAAUGAUUUACAAGUUUAACAGUUUAUCAAGUAGGAAAUUAGUGCUCUUGAAAUACGAAAUGGAGGAGGGCCAGGACUUUGAGAAGCACUGUCCUAAAGAGACUUAGGUCUCUGCAGAGCAAAAGUGGGCGUAUAUCACCAUGUGGGUGUUUUGAAACUGCUGGGUGUUUCUGAAUCAUGCAAUCUAAAUGAUCAACCUUACCCAACCCCACCCCUAAACCUAACGUCACUAUUAGAUAAACCAAUCAAGUAUCAUGGUGUAAAAACACCUUGAUCUCGUAACUCCCAUUACUUUCCUGCAGAGACCUAUACUUUGGUCAUAAAGGCUGUGGUAGGGAAACACGAUGACGUUUGUUAGGGCGGAGUUCCCCACAUACAUUUUUUUUUCGCAUGCGAAACUCUACAUGCAGUAAACAGAUUAGUGUCUUACUGUAUAAGGUUUAGUUUUAAGCUCCCUACACAGGGUGCUUCAACGACGAGUGACGCCUUUCUUCGAAUAUGCUCUAAAAAAAAAAAAAAAAAAAAAAAAAACCUGGUACCACCAGAUAUCCAGUGGGCAAACUGAGGUCCUGUCACAACCAACAGGACACGCUUUAAGCAAAGCGGUAGAAGAGAAAUUUGGGCUAAUUUAUGAGGCUUUUUCUAAACCGUGCGUUGAUAGAAGAUAUAGGCUGCAUUUAACCACGGUGUGCUGCUAUAAUACGAAGAAGUCGAGCUUCCCCAAGGAAUACUUUCAUAGAAGUCAAGGAUCUACAAAUCUGAAUCGCACUCUUGGAAAAGAAUCUCCAAGAAAGACAUAAACUAAAAUCCGGACUGGAAUCCGUGAGUGGAGCGGAACAACAGAGAUUUCCACUGCUCCAAUUUGAAGGGCUCAUAACUAUUCCUUAAUCUAUUUGAAGGGUUUACCCUCCAAAGGUAGAGAUUCAAAUGGUGUAGAGGACCAAAAAACUGUUCCUUGGAACACACAUCCGCAUCGAUUUUCCAAUUAAGGAGGCGCUAUCAUCACACAGUUAAACCUAUGCAAAGAAUCAUGGUAUAGCGAGGUGUCCAUCUGUUGUACCAUUCGAAGUCCUUCUGGCCAUCGAAGAUGACCGUUUUGAGCAAUUAUAUUUGCAAUGGCCCUUCAGUAUGAUUGUUCUCACUUCAAAAUGCCCUUCAGAGAUAGAUUUAUUACAUUUGGAGUGCAACAUUCCACUCCGUGCGGACUAGCUCCAGCUCCAUUCCGAAAUUUCCAAUCCACCCACUCCAAAAACACUGACAGCAAUCCUGAAAAAAGGGGACAACUUUAAAAACUGGAGGCAAAAUUAGACAACAUGACAAUAUGUGUGUGAAUAAAAUACAAUAUGUUAACAGUGGACAGAAUGUUUAGUGCCACUACAUUUAUUUGAUGUACUGCUAAAAUACUUUAAAGAUGGUUGAUUGAUUGAUAUACAUGUAAUUUACUUACACAACUACUCUUUACAAUGUCAGUGGUUCAUGGUUUUGUUUUUUUCUUUGUGGUAUUGUGGUGUAUAGUUGAACUGUCACGUUAAAUAAUAAAGGUUCACAGACUCGGAUCGUGGAUUCCUUUCCGGAAGCUCCAUAUCAAAGACAGCAUUUCUAUUAUCAACUUCCUAAUAAUGUGCUUUGACAUUGCACCCAUUUUAUCAAGGACCAAGCCCUUCACCCUCAGUGAGAGUUUGUUAUCUCUGUCCUGCUGCACUGUGUGUUAGGGCCAUUUAAAUCUAAUAGGGAAGGGUUGUGAUCCGCAUACAGCUGAAGCUGAAGUCA